Molecule: long non-coding RNA, 1266 nt
Organism: Triticum urartu
Lineage: Eukaryota; Viridiplantae; Streptophyta; Magnoliopsida; Poales; Poaceae
Source: RefSeq, a predicted model, not a curated record
ACGAGGGGGAGCGCGCGAAAGGCCGGAAAUUUUGCACCAAAUGAAUUAUAGCCGCCGGCCCAACCAGAUCUGCCCCAAAUUGAACCCUAUUCCACAAGUCCUCCUCCCAGACCAGCGCCGCCGCCGCCGCCCUCCGCCCUCGACCUCCUCCACCAACCAGUGCGCCCCCCAUCGACGUACGCGCCUCACGACGCCGACUCGUCAUCCCCUUCCUUCGGCACCGCCACCGGGGCGGGUCAACUAUGGCGGUGCAUCGAGGUCGAAGUCAACGUCGCCUCCCUCUCCAGCCCCAGAUCCCGUGGCGAAAAUCGCCACCACCAUACCGGCGCGCUCUUCUCCAUGGCACUCCAACGUAACGAGCACGGGUGAGCUCCCCACCACAGCUCCCUCCAUCCCAACGGCACGAGAGGUGCUCAGAUCCAUCACGCUGCUCAGAUCCGUCAUGCUGGAGUCUCCUCCUCUUUCCCAUGUACUCCUUUGCUACUUAGAGGAGGCAGUAGAAUAACUACAAAAGAAGAAGGAAUCUGAUGUCCCAACAAAGCACAUGUGAAGAGCGCUCCAGGGAGAAAGAAGAAGGAAACAACAAUCUUGCAAACGAAUAAAGAAACAACAGCUUCAUGACAAAAAAUUUCAUGAGUGGAAAUCCUUUUUAAUGGACUGAUGGUGGGACUUGGGAGCAAAGGCCCUAUUCGGAUCCCCUCCGCUCCCCUACUGCAGCUCCCGGAGCGGAGGGAGUGCCAGCACAAUCGCGCGGAGCAGUUCGAACCCGGCUCCUCGCGCGGAGCGGAGUUGAGAAUCUGGAGAGCUUCCGAACAGGCAGUAACUUUUGCACAAAUUUGGUUACGAGUCAUUGCUUCUCGCACAAAUUUGGUCAUGGGGUUGGCAUCAUCACUGGAAGAUGUUUCUACAUGAUGUUUCUUCUCUUCGUAUUAACAUCUUAAAAGCAUUACAAAUUCGUAACUCUUCUGCUGGAGACAUGUGGCCAUCUUCGAAUAAUGCAGUUUCAUUGGAUGGUGUGAGUUUGGUAUUCAGAUGAAUAUGUUAAUUCCAUCAAAGAAACAACUUGAACAGAAAUGUACAAAAGAGUAAUCACGCAACUUGUAUUCGUGGACAUGGCUACAGCUAUGCACUAAAGUUAAACCAUUUGUGUAGCUCAGUCUAAGGACACAAAAUCUUAUCGUCUUAUGUAAAUUUUGUUAACCGUUGUAGCUAGAUGCUACUAAACACAUGUACGGAAAUAAGCUUAUUCGUACUGAACUUUUAGUU